GAGAGCCGGAUGCGGUGAAAGCCGCACGUCCGGUUCGGUGGUGCGGCCCCGGGAAAUAGCCUGCGAGCAAUCGCAGACACUACGCCCGGGGCCGACACCAAC
Gordonia terrae NBRC 100016 is the source of this 102-nucleotide non-coding RNA. The record is from Rfam. Lineage: Bacteria; Bacillati; Actinomycetota; Actinomycetes; Mycobacteriales; Gordoniaceae.